GUUGACGCCGCACAGGCUCCUCCCCGAUCUCUUGACCUAGGAUGAAACCUAUGCGCCGCCACUAUUGCCGUCGCCGCUGCCGAGAGAGAGAGAGAGAGAGAGAGAGAGAGAGAGACGAGGGUGACUGAUGGCAACGGCGGCGAUGGGCAAACGAGGUCGCGCCAGGCCGGCGAUUUCAUCCGUAAGUGCACCUGCGCUGCCGACGAUGACGGCUCAACCAAGGUCCUCUUGAUGGAUCCCCGCGCCAGGGUCUUCGUCGCGCUGAUGGCGGUAGGGCAGCCGUCAGCCGCCAUGGUUGCCAAAUCCGUAGCACUCACCACAUCACGGCGGCGGCUACCUGCAUCACCUCGCCGUUCAUUGUUAUGGAAGCGUGAUGCGAUGAGCUUUUCCUAGCGGCUUACAGGUGAAGCCAGGGGAGGAAGGGAGGAAUGCAUUGUCAUAUGCUCGAUCUUGACAUCUUGUAUUGACAGUUUGACACAGUGCUGGGCGACAGUCGGAAGCCUACUUGAAUCCAAAACUUUUGAGGUUCGAUCCCAUCUACUUCUUUAACAUUGUUCAAAUGAUACACACUAUGCUUAGUAUUUCGUUUCCUAGGAAUAAGAUCUGGAAUAUUUUCCUGCAAAAAAUGUCCGCAAUAUAAAUAUAUGGAUGGUGACUCUUUGAUUA
This is a long non-coding RNA of Aegilops tauschii subsp. strangulata, 666 nucleotides long. RefSeq lists it as uncharacterized. NCBI's taxonomy places the organism in Eukaryota, Viridiplantae, Streptophyta, Magnoliopsida, Poales, Poaceae. The record is from RefSeq and is a predicted model, not a curated record.